RNAcentral lists this unclassified non-coding RNA (261 nucleotides) under Hevea brasiliensis (rubber tree). Lineage: Eukaryota; Viridiplantae; Streptophyta; Magnoliopsida; Malpighiales; Euphorbiaceae. The record is from RNAcentral.
GUAUUUAUAUAGCUAGAUCAUGAGCCAUCAUCAAAUAUGCAACUUCCUAGUUCCUACAUGCAACUACCCGUCUGAACAAGUUGUCAUCAAAUUCAACCAAGAAUAUAUAGAAGAAGCACAACUAGCAAUUUCCUUUAGAAAUCCAAGAUUAUAUAAAAAUCAUGCCAAUGGUUAGUGGUGAGGAAAUGUUUCUUGCUGAUUAAGUUAAUUUCAAACAAAGAAUCUGUGGAAAAGUCAACAAAUGGGCAUGACUUUUUUUUG